RNAcentral lists this ribosomal RNA (200 nucleotides) under uncultured bacterium. RNAcentral describes it as "partial 16S ribosomal RNA". It matches the Rfam family "Bacterial small subunit ribosomal RNA", at positions 328 to 539 of the family's 1533-position model. The record is from RNAcentral.
ACGCUCGACACCUACGGGGAGGCAGCAGUUGGGAAUAUUGGACAAUGGAGGAAACUCUGAUCCAGUGACGCCGCGUGAAGGAAGAAGGUCUACGGAUUGUAAACUUAUUUUGUCAGGGAAGAAAAAUGACUGUACCUGAAGAAAAAGCACCGGCUAACUACGUGCCAACAGCCGCGGUAAUCUGAGCGGGCUGGCAAGGC